Molecule: RNA transcript, 1269 nt
Organism: Arachis duranensis
Lineage: Eukaryota; Viridiplantae; Streptophyta; Magnoliopsida; Fabales; Fabaceae
Gene name: signal recognition particle 14 kDa protein-like
Exons: 6
Source: RefSeq, a predicted model, not a curated record
GGAGAGGAGGUCGCCAUUGCACACACCGCCACCAGUUACAACCGUCACCGAAACCAGGACAGAUUCACUGUUUGAGGAAAACAAAUGAUCUUCUGAAUCAAGAAGUGUCAAAAUUGCAGAAAUAAAUUCAAAGUUUGAAAUAGAAAAGUGAAAUGAAAGAUGUGGGAAAUCAAAAGCUUCGCAAAAAUAUUAAGGAAGCUACAACAUUGGCAGCAGAUGAGUCUUCUAAGCAUAAAGUAAUGCUAGAAAUUUUUGAGUCCACUAUUAUUCAGUGUGAUUUGUAUUGAACAUAUGAGUCACUAUAAGUCAGCUCCACAACAAGGCCAGAAACGGGGUAGAAGUCGCCCCACAGGGUCUGGGAAGAAAUAGCAGCUGGCUUCUCUUGCUAGAUCCGUUUCUCAAUGAACUCACCAGCAUGUUCGAGCGAAGCACUGAGACGGGCUCUGUUUGGGUUACACUUAAACGAUCAUCCUUGAAGUCUAAAGCCAUUAGGAAUAAAAUGGCAACUGCUGGUGAAGUAAUUGAGUAUAGAUGCCGUAUCCAUGCCACCAAUGGAAAAAAGACACUCUCUACUUUGGUACGUGUGUAUCUUAUAUAUUAUGAGCUUAUCAUUCUCAUUUCUCAUUGUGCUUUUAGAAGGUUCAUGUUAAUUGGAAAUUUUUGAGUAGCGCAAACUUAUAUCAUAGAUAAUCUUGUGACUAAUUGUAGGCAUAAAGUUCCUAGUCUAACUCCACCAUGUGGCAUGAUAUUCGUCUCCCCCACUUGUAAUUAUUAAGGGCUCUCACAUAGAUAAUACUGAAUCUAAAAUAGGGAAAGUGAAAGGAGGAUAGUUGAAGCAUCACUACUAGUGUUUCUUCAUUCAGCUAUUCUCUUUUACCUUUUUUUUUUCUUAAUCUCUUAAUGGGCAUGGUUUACAAUCUCAUGUGUUUAUGAAUUACUCAAAUUUUAAAACCCAAUUCUUGUUUGAUCAUAUUUACAGUCACAGAGAUCUCAAAUUUCAUCUACUGUAAUUGAUUUUAAACCUGUAAAUUUAUAGAAAUAAAAAUCUCUCAAGAAAUACUAAACAAUAUUUGAUACCAAACUAACUCCCAAAAACAAAAUAGUAUUCAGCAUGAAUUAAUCUAAACCAACUCAGCUGUAUAUGGACUUAUGAAAAUUAUCUAAAAUAUUUGUUAUAAAUAUGCCAAUGUUUCCUGCAUAAGUCCUUUUCACUAUUAAUAACUUAUUUUUUUAAUUGGAAAAAUGCAUCGGAGGUGCUGUUGUGUUGGA